Molecule: ribosomal RNA, 460 nt
Filed under: uncultured bacterium
Lineage: Bacteria
Description: partial 16S ribosomal RNA
Rfam family: Bacterial small subunit ribosomal RNA
Source: RNAcentral
CCUACGGGUGGCUGCAGUGAGGAAUAUUGGUCAAUGGGCGGGAGUCUGAACCAGCCAAGUAGCGUACAGGAUGACUGCCCUAUGGGUUGUAAACUGCUUUUAUAUGGGAAUAAAGUGUUCCACGUGUGGGAUUUUGUAUGUACCGUAUGAAUAAGGAUCGGCUAACUCCGUGCCAGCAGCCGCGGUAAUACGGAGGGUCCGAGCGUUAUCCGGAUUUAUUGGGUUUAAGGGGAGCGUAGGGGGAUUGUUAAGUGAGUUGUGAAAGGUUGGGGCUCAACCGUAACAUUGCAGUUGAAACUGGCAGUCUUGAGUACACGAAAGGUGGGCGGAAGUCGUGGUGGAGCGGUGAAAUGCUUAGAUAUGACGAAGAACUCCGAUUGCGAAGGCAGUUCGCUGCACCGGAACUGACACUGAGGCUCGAAAGUGCGGGUAUCAAACAGGAUUAGAUACCCGAGUAGUC